AACGAACGCUGGCGGCAGGCCUAACACAUGCAAGUCGAACGCUCGUAGCAAUACGAGAGUGGCAGACGGGUGAGUAACACGUGGGAACCUUCCCUAUGGUUCGGAAUAGCUCAGGGAAACUUGGGGGUAAUACCGGAUAAGCCCUUCGGGGGAAAGAUUUAUCGCCAUUGGAUGGGCCCGCGUCGGAUUAGCUAGUUGGU
This 200-nucleotide ribosomal RNA is filed under the name uncultured bacterium. RNAcentral's name for it is "partial 16S ribosomal RNA". It matches the Rfam family "Bacterial small subunit ribosomal RNA", at positions 29 to 253 of the family's 1533-position model. The record is from RNAcentral.